GGGACAUAGUUCAGUGGUAGAUCACUUUCCUAGCAGGUGAGAGGUUCUGGGUUUGAUUCCCCAGUGCUUCCA
Molecule: transfer RNA, 72 nt
Filed under: Marmota monax (woodchuck)
Lineage: Eukaryota; Metazoa; Chordata; Mammalia; Rodentia; Sciuridae
Description: tRNA.Ala
Source: RNAcentral